UACUUAGUGUCUAUUAUAAUGUUGAUGGA
RNAcentral lists this non-coding RNA (29 nucleotides) under Rattus norvegicus (Norway rat). Lineage: Eukaryota; Metazoa; Chordata; Mammalia; Rodentia; Muridae. The record is from RNAcentral.